RNAcentral lists this non-coding RNA (30 nucleotides) under Rattus norvegicus (Norway rat). The record is from RNAcentral. Lineage: Eukaryota; Metazoa; Chordata; Mammalia; Rodentia; Muridae.
UGUGACUGAAUAUGCUAUAACCACCGGAUC